Molecule: ribosomal RNA, 497 nt
Filed under: uncultured bacterium
Lineage: Bacteria
Description: partial 16S ribosomal RNA
Rfam family: Bacterial small subunit ribosomal RNA
Source: RNAcentral
GAUGAACGCUGGCGGCGUGCCUAAUACAUGCAAGUCGAGCGAACGGACGAGAAGCUUGCUUCUCUGAUGUUAGCGGCGGACGGGUGAGUAACACGUGGAUAACCUACCUAUAAGACUGGGAUAACUUCGGGAAACCGGAGCUAAUACCGGGUAAUAUUUUGAACCGCAUGGUUCAAAAGUGAAAGACGGUCUUGCUGUCACUUAUAGAUGGAUCCGCGCUGCAUUAGCUAGUUGGUAAGGUAACGGCUUACCAAGGCCACGAUGCAUAGCCGACCUGAGAGGGUGAUCGGCCACACUGGAACUGAGACACGGUCCAGACUCCUACGGGAGGCAGCAGUAGGGAAUCUUCCGCAAUGGGCGAAAGCCUGACGGAGCAACGCCGCGUGAGUGAUGAAGGUCUUCGGAUCGUAAAACUCUGUUAUUAGGGAAGAACAUAUGUGUAAGUAACUGUGCACAUCUUGACGGUACCUAAUCAGAAAGCCACGGCUAACUACGUG